This 407-nucleotide ribosomal RNA is filed under the name uncultured bacterium. RNAcentral describes it as "partial 16S ribosomal RNA". It matches the Rfam family "Bacterial small subunit ribosomal RNA", at positions 30 to 526 of the family's 1533-position model. The record is from RNAcentral.
AUUGAACGCUGGCGGCAGGCCUAACACAUGCAAGUCGAACGGAGCGGCGGACGGGUGAGUAAUUCCUAGGAAUCUACCUGGUAGUGGGGGAUAACGUCCGGCAACGGGCGCUAAUACCGCAUACUAUCAGAUGAGCCUAGGUCGGAUUAGCUAGUUGGUGGGGGAAAGGACUACCAAGUCGACGAUCCGUACCUGGUCUGAGAGGAUGAUCAGUCACCCUGGAACGUAGAAACGGGCCAGACUCCUACGGGAGGCAGCAGUGGGGAAUAUUGGACAAUGGGCGAAAGCCUGAUCCAGCCAUGCCGCGUGUGUGAAGAAGGUUGUCGGAUUGUAAAGCCCUUUAAGUUGGGAGGCGGUACCAACAGAAGAAGCACCGGCUAACUUCGUGCCAGCAGCCGCGGUAAUUC